RNAcentral lists this ribosomal RNA (254 nucleotides) under uncultured bacterium. Its description in RNAcentral is "partial 16S ribosomal RNA". It matches the Rfam family "Bacterial small subunit ribosomal RNA", at positions 524 to 776 of the family's 1533-position model. The record is from RNAcentral.
UACGUAGGGGGCGAGCGUUGUCCGGAUUUAUUGGGCGUAAAGAGCUCGUAGGCGGUUUGGCAAGUCGGGUGUGAAAACUCCGGGCUCAACUCGGAGACGCCACUCGAUACUGCCAUGACUUGAGUCCGGUAGGGGAGUGCGGAAUUCCUGGUGUAGCGGUGAAAUGCGCAGAUAUCAGGAGGAACACCGGUGGCGAAGGCGGCACUCUGGGCCGGUACUGACGCUGAGGAGCGAAAGCGUGGGGAGCAAACAGG